This 497-nucleotide ribosomal RNA is filed under the name uncultured bacterium. RNAcentral's name for it is "partial 16S ribosomal RNA". It matches the Rfam family "Bacterial small subunit ribosomal RNA", at positions 28 to 507 of the family's 1533-position model. The record is from RNAcentral.
GAUGAACGCUGGCGGCGUGCCUAAUACAUGCCAGUCGAGCGAACGGACGAGAAGCUUGCUUCUCUGAUGUUAGCGGCGGACGGGUGAGUAACACGUGGAUAACCUACCUAUAAGACUGGGAUAACUUCGGGAAACCGGAGCUAAUACCGGAUAAUAUUUUGAACCGCAUGGUUCAAAAGUGAAAGACGGUCUUGCUGUCACUUAUAGAUGGAUCCGCGCUGCAUUAGCUAGUUGGUAAGGUAACGGCUUACCAAGGCAACGAUGCAUAGCCGACCUGAGAGAGUGAUCGGCCACACUGGAACUGAGACACGGUCCAGACUCCUACGGGAGGCAGCAGUAGGGAAUCUUCCGCAAUGGGCGAAAGCCUGACGGAGCAACGCCGCGUGAGUGAUGAAGAUCUUCGGAUCGUAAAACUCUGUUAUUAGGGAAGAACAUAUGUGUAAGUAACUGUGCACAUCUUGACGGUACCUAAUCAGAAAGCCACGGCUAACUACGUG